UUAAUGUUUGAUGUUCUAACGUUGACCCGUGAUCCGGGUUGCGGACAGUGUCUGGUGGGUAGUUUGACUGGGGCGGUCUCCUCCUAAAGAGUAACGGAGGAGCACGAAGGUUGGCUAAUCCUGGUCGGACAUCAGGAGGUUAGUGCAAUGGCAUAAGCCAGCUUGACUGCGAGCGUGACGGCGCGAGCAGGUGCGAAAGCAGGUCAUAGUGAUCCGGUGGUUCUGAAUGGAAGGGCCAUCGCUCAACGGAUAAAAGGUACUCCGGGGAUAACAGGCUGAUACCGCCCAAGAGUUCAUAUCGACGGCGGUGUUUGGCACCUCGAUGUCGGCUCAUCACAUCCUGGGGCUGAAGUAGGUCCCAAGGGUAUGGCUGUUCGCCAUUUAAAGUGGUACGCGAGCUGGGUUUAGAACGUCGUGAGACAGUUCGGUCCCUAUCUGCCGUGGGCGCUGGAGAACUGAGGGGGGCUGCUCCUAGUACGAGAGGACCGGAGUGGACGCAUCACUGGUGUUCGGGUUGUCAUGCCAAUGGCACUGCCCGGUAGCUAAAUGCGGAAGAGAUAAGUGCUGAAAGCAUCUAAGCACGAAACUUGCCCCGAGAUGAGUUCUCCCUGACUCCUUGAGAGUCCUGAAGGAACGUUGAAGACGACGACGUUGAUAGGCCGGGUGUGUAAGCGCAGCGAUGCGUUGAGCUAACCGGUACUAAUGAACCGUGAGG
RNAcentral lists this ribosomal RNA (715 nucleotides) under Escherichia coli. RNAcentral describes it as "partial 23S ribosomal RNA". It matches the Rfam family "Bacterial large subunit ribosomal RNA", at positions 2207 to 2916 of the family's 2925-position model. The record is from RNAcentral. Lineage: Bacteria; Pseudomonadati; Pseudomonadota; Gammaproteobacteria; Enterobacterales; Enterobacteriaceae.